Molecule: non-coding RNA, 345 nt
Organism: Pelobates cultripes (western spadefoot toad)
Lineage: Eukaryota; Metazoa; Chordata; Amphibia; Anura; Pelobatidae
Source: the annotation of a GenBank genome assembly
GUGCCAUCUCUGUGUCCCAAUGCCGCUAAUCAGUGCCAUCUCUCUCUCCCAAUAUAGCUAAUCAGUGCCAUCUCUCUCUCCCAAUAUAGCUAAUCGGUGCCAUCUCUGUGUCCCAAUAUAGCUAAUCAGUGCCAUCUCUCUCUCCCAAUAUAGCUAAUCGGUGCCAUCUCUGUGUCCCAAUAUAGCUAAUCGGUGUCAUCUGUGUCCCAAUAUAGCUAAUUAGAGAUAUUUUGGUCUCAAAAUAUCUUUGUCCCCAUCUUGUCAGUGCCACUUUUGUUUCCAAAUAGCCAUUUUUGUGCCCAAAUCGCUGAUCAGUGUCAUUUCUUUUUCCAAACAGCUUGCCAG